RNAcentral lists this ribosomal RNA (265 nucleotides) under uncultured archaeon. RNAcentral describes it as "partial 16S ribosomal RNA". It matches the Rfam family "Archaeal small subunit ribosomal RNA", at positions 717 to 982 of the family's 1478-position model. The record is from RNAcentral.
ACACGUCUACAUUAGAUACCCGGGUAGUCCCAGCCGUAAACUAUGCUCGCUAGGUGUCAGGCAUGGCGCGACCGUGUCUGGUGCCGCAGGGAAGCCGUGAAGCGAGCCACCUGGGAAGUGCGGCCGCAAGGCUGAAACUUAAAGGAAUUGGCGGGGGAGCACAACAACGGGUGGAGCCUGCGGUUUAAUUGGACUCAACGCCGGACAACUCACCGGGAACGACAGCAAUAUGUAGGCCAGGCUGAAGACCUUGCCUGAAUCGCUG